GAGCCGGAGGGAAACCGAGUCUUAAUUGGGCGUUAAGUUGCAGGGUAUAGACCCGAAACCCGGUGAUCUAGCCAUGGGCAGGUUGAAGGUUGGGUAACACUAACUGGAGGACCGAACCGACUAAUGUUGAAAAAUUAGCGGAUGACCUGUGGCUGGGGGUGAAAGGCCAAUCAAACCGGGAGAUAGCUGGUUCUCCCCGAAAGCUAUUUAGGUAGCGCCUCGUGAAUUCAUCUCCGGGGGUAGAGCACUGUUUCGGCUAGGGGGCCAUCCCGGCUUACCAACCCGAUGCAAACUGCGAAUACCGGAGAAUGUUAUCACGGGAGACACACGGCGGGUGCUAACGUCCGUCGUGAAGAGGGAAACAACCCAGACCGCCAGCUAAGGUCCCAAAGUCAUGGUUAAGUGGGAAACGAUGUGGGAAGGCCCAGACAGCCAGGAUGUUGGCUUAGAAGCAGCCAUCAUUUAAAGAAAGCGUAAUAGCUCACUGGUCGAGUCGGCCUGCGCGGAAGAUGUAACGGGGCUAAACCAUGCACCGAAGCUGCGGCAGCGAACGUAUCACUUAAAGCGAUUCAGCGGGUUACGAUUGACGGAGCGAAGCGACGUCAAAGCGUAUACAAAGUCGAGUCGGUUUA
Molecule: ribosomal RNA, 632 nt
Filed under: Salmonella enterica
Lineage: Bacteria; Pseudomonadati; Pseudomonadota; Gammaproteobacteria; Enterobacterales; Enterobacteriaceae
Description: partial 23S ribosomal RNA
Rfam family: Bacterial large subunit ribosomal RNA
Source: RNAcentral